RNAcentral lists this ribosomal RNA (478 nucleotides) under uncultured bacterium. RNAcentral describes it as "partial 16S ribosomal RNA". It matches the Rfam family "Bacterial small subunit ribosomal RNA", at positions 28 to 523 of the family's 1533-position model. The record is from RNAcentral.
GACGAACGCUGGCGGCGUGCUUAACACAUGCAAGUCGAACGGUAAGGCCCUUCGGGGUACACGAGUGGCGAACGGGUGAGUAACACGUGGGUGAUCUGCCCUGCACUUCGGGAUAAGCCUGGGAAACUGGGUCUAAUACCGGAUAGGACCCUGGGAUGCAUGUCCUGGGGUGGAAAGCUUUUGCGGUGCGGGAUGGGCCCGCGGCCUAUCAGCUUGUUGGUGGGGUGAUGGCCUACCAAGGCGACGACGGGUAGCCGGCCUGAGAGGGUGACCGGCCACACUGGGACUGGGAUACGGCCCAGACGCCUACGGGAGGCAGCAGUGGGGAAUAUUGCACAAUGGGCGCAAGCCUGAUGCAGCGACGCCGCGUGAGGGAUGACGGCCUUCGGGUUGUAAACCUCUUUCAGCACCGACGAAGCGCAAGUGACGGUAGGUGCAGAAGAAGGACCGGCCAAUUACGUGCCAGCCGCCGCCGUAA